AUACGUAGGUGGCAAGCGUUGUCCGGAUUUAUUGGGCGUAAAGCGAGCGCAGGCGGUUUCUUAAGUCUGAUGUGAAAGCCCCCGGCUCAACCGGGGAGGGUCAUUGGAAACUGGGAGACUUGAGUGCAGAAGAGGAGAGUGGAAUUCCAUGGGUAGCGGUGAAAUGCGUAGAUAUAUGGAGGAACACCAGUGGCGAAGGCGACUCUCUGGUCUGUAACUGACGCUGAGGCUCGAAAGCGUGGGGAGCAAACAGGAUUAGAUACCCUGGUAGUCCACGCCGUAAACGAUGAGUGCUAAGUGUUGGAGGGUUUCCGCCCUUCAGUGCUGCAGCUAACGCAUUAAGCACUCCGCCUGGGGAGUACGACCGCAAGGUUGAAACUCAAAGGAAUUGACGGGG
RNAcentral lists this ribosomal RNA (397 nucleotides) under uncultured bacterium. RNAcentral's name for it is "partial 16S ribosomal RNA". It matches the Rfam family "Bacterial small subunit ribosomal RNA", at positions 523 to 918 of the family's 1533-position model. The record is from RNAcentral.